CUGGACCUUUGGGUUCAUAACUCCACCCAAAAUCUCGCAACAAUUUUCCCUGCCAUUUUCUCCCAUUCGCUCAGACCCUCGGCCACAGUUGCCCGGGUUCUAAGCAUUCCUACUUUUAAUCUAGAUUUGGCUCCGCGCCUUUCUCAUGACGCUGAGCUGGAACUAGAAAACCUACGCGCUAUGCUGGCAACUGUCUCCUUGAAUGUGCAGGUACAUGACAAACGAAUUGGACGUAUCGACGGCAAGCCGCUGACUUGCAACUCGGCUUACAAGGCUAUCUGGAGCGACAAGCCUAUCGACUACUUCGCUCCGUCCAUUUGGAAAAAUUAUGCACCCAACAAAUGCAGAAUUUUUCUAUGGCUCGCAAGUAAAAAUCGACUCUUCACCAACGAAAGACGCUUCAAC
RNAcentral lists this ribosomal RNA (405 nucleotides) under Triticum aestivum (bread wheat). Its description in RNAcentral is "partial small subunit ribosomal RNA". The record is from RNAcentral. Lineage: Eukaryota; Viridiplantae; Streptophyta; Magnoliopsida; Poales; Poaceae.